Molecule: non-coding RNA, 28 nt
Filed under: Mus musculus (house mouse)
Lineage: Eukaryota; Metazoa; Chordata; Mammalia; Rodentia; Muridae
Source: RNAcentral
GACAAACUUUCAUUGCUUGCUGGUGGGU